AGUUUUGCACAGUGGCAGUAUCGUAGCCAAUGAGGUUAAUCCGAGGCGCGAUUAUUGCUAAUUGAAUAAUUCAUUGUAAGUUAGGGCUUUUUUCUGUGGGAAUGCAGUGAAAUAGACUUCUGGAACCUUUGUGGAAAC
This is a small nuclear RNA of Heteronotia binoei (common prickly gecko), 138 nucleotides long. RefSeq annotates it as U4 spliceosomal RNA. The record is from RefSeq and is a predicted model, not a curated record. The transcript has a single exon. Lineage: Eukaryota; Metazoa; Chordata; Lepidosauria; Squamata; Gekkonidae.